CGUUCCCGGGCCUUGUACACACCGCCCGUCACACCAUGGGAGUGGGUUUUACCAGAAGUCGUUAGUCUAACCGUAAGGGGGGCGAUGACCACGGUAGGAUUCAUGACUGGGGUG
RNAcentral lists this ribosomal RNA (114 nucleotides) under uncultured bacterium. Its description in RNAcentral is "partial 16S ribosomal RNA". It matches the Rfam family "Bacterial small subunit ribosomal RNA", at positions 1369 to 1482 of the family's 1533-position model. The record is from RNAcentral.